GGGGAUAUAUCUCAGUGGUAGAGCACUUGCCUAGCACACAUGAGGCCCUGGGUUCAAUUCCCAGUACCAUCA
Molecule: transfer RNA, 72 nt
Filed under: Fukomys damarensis (Damara mole-rat)
Lineage: Eukaryota; Metazoa; Chordata; Mammalia; Rodentia; Bathyergidae
Rfam family: tRNA
About the family: Transfer RNA (tRNA) molecules are approximately 80 nucleotides in length.
Source: Rfam by way of RNAcentral